This 22-nucleotide non-coding RNA is filed under the name Arabidopsis thaliana (thale cress). Lineage: Eukaryota; Viridiplantae; Streptophyta; Magnoliopsida; Brassicales; Brassicaceae. The record is from RNAcentral.
UCACCUCCUCUUUUAUUGUCCA